CUCUGCUCAAUGAUUUUUUAAAUUGCUGUGGUAUUUUGACUAUACAAAGGUAUUGUAAUAAGAUUUUAAUUGAAUGCUAAAAGAAUGGAAAUUUAAAAAAAAACUUUUUUAAAAAUAAAAAUUGAAUUUUUUUUAAUUUGUGCAAAAACAAUUAUACUUAUUAAAGACAAGAAGACCCUAAGAAUUUAAGAUUUUACAAUUAAAAAGUUUUUUUUUUAAAAUCUUGAUUGGGGCGAUCAAAAAAUAUUAAUAACUUUUUAAAAUUUAAAUUGAUCUAUUAUUAAUAAACUAAUGAAUUAAAUACUCUAGGGAUAACAGCGUAAUAAUUUUUGAUAGAUCUUAUUGACAAAAUAGUUUGCGACCUCGAUGUUGGAUUAGGAUUCUUUUUUAAUGAAGAAGUUAAAGAAAGAAGUUUGUUCAACUUUUAAAUUCCUACUUGAUCUGAGUUCAGACCGGA
This 457-nucleotide ribosomal RNA is filed under the name Hyalomma marginatum. Its description in RNAcentral is "partial large subunit ribosomal RNA". The stretch from base 311 to 457 matches the Rfam family "Bacterial large subunit ribosomal RNA", at positions 2473 to 2620 of the family's 2925-position model. Lineage: Eukaryota; Metazoa; Arthropoda; Arachnida; Ixodida; Ixodidae. The record is from RNAcentral.